UUCGAAAGGUAUCCAGAUCCCA
Molecule: non-coding RNA, 22 nt
Filed under: Arabidopsis thaliana (thale cress)
Lineage: Eukaryota; Viridiplantae; Streptophyta; Magnoliopsida; Brassicales; Brassicaceae
Source: RNAcentral